This 292-nucleotide ribosomal RNA is filed under the name uncultured bacterium. Its description in RNAcentral is "partial 16S ribosomal RNA". It matches the Rfam family "Bacterial small subunit ribosomal RNA", at positions 505 to 796 of the family's 1533-position model. The record is from RNAcentral.
GUGUCAGCCGCCGCGGUAAUACGGGGGGGGUAAGCGUUGUUCGGAAUUACUGGGCGUAAAGGGCUCGUAGGCGGCCAACUAAGUCGGACGUGAAAUCCCUCAGCUUAACUGGGGAACUGCGUCCGAUACUGGAUGGCUUGGAUUUGGGAGAGGGAUGCGGAAUUCCAGGUGUAGCGGUGAAAUGCGUAGAUAUCUGGAGGAACACCGGUGGCGAAGGCGGCAUCCUGGACCAACAUUGACGCUGAGGAGCGAAAGCUAGGGGAGCAAACGGGAUUAGAUACCCCAGUAGUCC